CCUACGGGAGGCAGCAGUAGGGAAUAUUGCUCAAUGGGGGAAACCCUGAAGCAGCAACGCCGCGUGGAGGAUGAAGGUUUUCGGAUUGUAAACUCCUUUUGUUAGAGAAGAUAAUGACGGUAUCUAACGAAUAAGCCCCGGCUAACUCCGUGCCAGCAGCCGCGGUAAUACGGAGGGUGCAAGCGUUACUCGGAAUUACUGGGCGUAAAGGGCGCGUAGGCGGGGUAGCAAGUCAGAUGUGAAAUCCUAUGGCUUAACCAUAGAACUGCAUUUGAAACUGUUAUUCUAGAGUAUGGGAGAGGUAGGUGGAAUUCUUGGUGUAGGGGUAAAAUCCGUAGAGAUCAAGAGGAAUACUCAUUGCGAAGGCGACCUGCUAGAACAUAACUGACGCUGAUGCGCGAAAGCGUGGGGAGCAAACAGGAUUAGAUACCCUUGUAGUC
This 440-nucleotide ribosomal RNA is filed under the name uncultured bacterium. RNAcentral describes it as "partial 16S ribosomal RNA". It matches the Rfam family "Bacterial small subunit ribosomal RNA", at positions 338 to 795 of the family's 1533-position model. The record is from RNAcentral.